GAUUAACGCUGGCGGCGUGCAUAACACAUGCAAGUCGAACGAUGAAACUUAAAUGAUUUCUUCGGAAUGAUUUUAAGUGGAUUAGUGGCGGACGGGUGAGUAACGCGUGAGUAACCUGCCUUAGAGAUGGGGAUAGCCUCUGGAAACGGAGAAUAAUACCCAAUGAUACUAAGCUAUCGCAUGGUAGCCUAGUCAAAGAUUUAUCGCUCUAAGAUGGACUUGCGUCUGAUUAGCUAGUUGGUGAGAUAAUGGCUCACCAAGGCAACGAUCAGUAGCCGCUUGAGAGAGUGUACGGCCACAUUGGACUGAGACACGGCCCAGACUCCUACGGGAGCAGCAGUGGGAAUUUGCACAAUGGGGAAACCCUGAUGCAGCGACGCCGCGUGAUUUAGAAGGCCUUCGGGUUGUAAAAA
RNAcentral lists this ribosomal RNA (413 nucleotides) under uncultured bacterium. RNAcentral describes it as "bacterial SSU rRNA". It matches the Rfam family "Bacterial small subunit ribosomal RNA", at positions 28 to 431 of the family's 1533-position model. The record is from RNAcentral.